GCCUUCGUGGUGUAGCGGUCAGCACACUCGAUGCGUAUUCAAGAGGUCCCAGGUUCGAUUCCAAGCGAGGGCA
Molecule: transfer RNA, 73 nt
Filed under: Stegodyphus mimosarum
Lineage: Eukaryota; Metazoa; Arthropoda; Arachnida; Araneae; Eresidae
Rfam family: tRNA
About the family: Transfer RNA (tRNA) molecules are approximately 80 nucleotides in length. Their secondary structure includes four short double-helical elements and three loops (D, anti-codon, and T loops).
Source: Rfam by way of RNAcentral